GAAGGAGUGACUGAGAGGUUAAAAGUGGCAGACUGUAAAUCUGUUGGCAACGUCCAUCGUAGGUUCGAAUCCUACCUCCUUCA
This 83-nucleotide transfer RNA is filed under the name Schizocladia ischiensis. RNAcentral describes it as "tRNA-Tyr". It matches the Rfam family "tRNA". From Rfam's summary of the family: Transfer RNA (tRNA) molecules are approximately 80 nucleotides in length. Their secondary structure includes four short double-helical elements and three loops (D, anti-codon, and T loops). Lineage: Eukaryota; Schizocladiophyceae; Schizocladiales; Schizocladiaceae. The record is from RNAcentral.